Long non-coding RNA from Vicugna pacos (alpaca), 3450 nucleotides. RefSeq lists it as uncharacterized. Lineage: Eukaryota; Metazoa; Chordata; Mammalia; Artiodactyla; Camelidae. The record is from RefSeq and is a predicted model, not a curated record.
UGGUCUACACUUUUGGAAUCUCUUCCCUAAGUAGGCCUGAGUCAGUGAAAAGCUUCUAGAGGGCGGGACAGAAUGUGGAUAUUAGGUAGAGGACGGGGUUGCUGACCAGUUGCACUUCGGCCCAGCCCCUAGUCUCUAAUCACAAGUGUUCCUACUACCCUCAGGUGAAGACCGUGCUAUAAAUCUUUCGUUAGGAAGCUGCUGCUUGGGCGGCUCUCUCUCUGCGACUGAGAAAUCUUCCACAAGAAAAGUCUCCUCUGUUUUGGAAGGGCCCUCCCAGGACGGGUGGACUAGAUCGCUCUAGCGAAUGCUGCGACCAGACGAGGUGCGCAGUCCUCCCUCCCACAAAAGCCCUCACGAGUCAUUCCAAAGGAAGAGCCUGCUGCCCUGAGGGCUGAUUACCACCAUCAGGUCUGCUCACUCCUGUUGCUUCUCCUGCUCAACCUUUCCUUAGAGAGCUAUCUCCUGCUGCAGAGGUCAGCGAAUCCGUUUUGGAGUUGUCGAAAAGAACCACUCACGGCUCCAGAAAGGAGGGGCUGUAGCCCUUUAAGGACUUCGCCAGGAUGGAUUCGGAGAUGAGUUUAAAAAUGCCAACUCACAGAGCGCGCUGGAUUCUGGGAGCGAGAUUUCAGACCGGGAACUACAUUGACCAGUAUGCACUGCAAACACACACGCCUUUACUUCCUACUGCUUUUUAGGACUCGGCUUUGACGUAGCGCUCCUCUAAGCAAGUAGCCUAGGCGGAGGACUGAGCCACGCCUUUUCACCUAUUGGCCAGAUCACGAGUUGGUGGGCGUGGCUUAGCACAAUUCCGCUAGGCAAAGGGGUGGUCUCCUUGCCAAUCAGAGCUAAGGCGGUCGGGGAGGCGGGACCAGGGCGAAGCGCUGGCGCCCCCGAGUGGGUGUGGUCACGCUGCCCAGCAGUGGGCGGUGAUUGGCCCUGGGCGGUGCAAUCGCAGCUUGUGCGUCACGACGCCGCCAGCUGAUCGGAGACUGGAGCCGGUGUGUGCUGGGCGCUGGGAAGAGACAGCGCCGCCGGCCGUGGGGGACGGACGCACUGAUUUGCUCCCCUACCUUCAACAACCCCCCACCCAGCACCAGGAAGCUGUACCUCCCACAUCCUCACCUGGCUGAGCCGCAGUAGUUCUUCAGUGGCAAGCUUUAUGUCCUGACCCAGCUAAAGCUGCCAGUUGAAGAACUGUUGCCCUCUGCCCCUGGCUUCGAGGAGGAGGAGGAGGAAGAGGAGAAGGAGCUGCUUUCCCCCUCACCUGGAAGGUCUUUCUGGGUGAAAUCCAAAAGGAAGUUUCCUCUUCAGGGCAAAGGUCAUACUGAGACACCCAUCUGAGUGGUCCCCUGCCCCUGCUCUUACUUUUUCUGUGUUUCCUUGGUCUGGCCCAGACUCUAGAUUCAGGGAUACUCACAUCUGUGGGAGACCCUUAGACCUCCUGUCUCAGCUUCUCCACCUGUGAGGUGGGGAAUCACACAGUUGAGCAUGCAUGAGGAAAUCAGAAGCCCUUGUGCAGACUCAGAGCCUGGACUCUACUCUCCCUGUGGGUGGGAACAAAACAGCUUUUCACGUCUUAAGCUAUUGCCCUUCCCCCAUCCCUGUAUAGAUCCCCAGGAACAGGGGGGUAGGGUGUGGAGGGAGUUGAGGGAGGGGCUAGGGCUAGACCAAUGCAAGAUGUUGGUGGCAGCUCAUUCUCUGCAUUGACUGCCUACCAUGUGAAGGUGGCCCAGGCUUCCCCUGCCUCCCAAAGCAGGACUGCAGCCCCUGAUGUGGUUCUAGCUGCCUCUGCUCUCUUCCUUCACUUUACUUUCUUGGAUAGUGUGUGAGACUCAGCUCAAGCCUGUGCAGGCAGGAAAUUCUCCCCUCCAGCAGCCAGGAGAGAUGGGUAAUAGGAUGUGACCCAUUUGGGGGAAUCAGGCAUUGUAAACUUGCCACCCAUGACUCCUGAUAUAAUCUCCUUCUCAUGCUCAGGCUCUGAUGUGGUUUAGCCUUGGCCAAGGCUCCCUGCCUGAAGGCGACCGAGUUCAGGGGUUAUAGGGAGCUGUUUGUUCUGUUUGGGGACAGGAGUCGUACAGGGAGCUGGGUCCUAUUCUCCAUUUAUGAGAAACAGAUUUAGGAGGGAGUAGAUCAUUGAAUCCACCCUUCUGCAGCCUAAGCUGGAUGUGAGUGGGACUGCGGUAGAGGGAGGUGGGUAGACUGAGUCUACUCAUCGGCUGCAACAAAGAUCACUCUGUCCCCGGACAUUGCUUCCCUCCUUUCUUCCCCUCCUCGCUUUGCUGGCGACAGUGUAUCCCUCCAGCUUUGGGUAUGUGGCUCUGCCAUCCUCACCCAUCAUGGAGCAGAAAUGAGGAAGAGCAGCCUGGGAACACAGAGGCAGGCAGAAGACCAGUGAAGGACCAGUUCUGGAGAACACAGGGUCCUGUCUGGGCAUCCUGAGAGAGGGCUCAUAAAGGCCAGGACCAUCCCAGGACAGCCAGCCUCCAUCAAGGACAAGCUUCCAGCCAUCUACUUCAUUCUCCAUUUGUCUCCAGUCUUUCUGCCUCCCUGAGAUGUGAGACUGUAUUAAAGUGUCCUUGGCUUCAUUCUCCUGCUUCCACCUCUCCCCCACUCUGUAAUUUUUAUAUAAGUACCUUCCAGGAGCAAGAACCAGCUGUGAAAGGACAUACACAGAAAAUUCAGAAAAGAAAUUCAAAUGGAUAAAACCCUGGGGGAAAAAUGUAUGCUUCAUUAGUAAUUACAGAGGCAAAUAUAGCUGAAAGCAUUUUUCUGGUAGCAAACUAUAACAAAAAAUAAGACCCAGUUAUUGGCAAAAGAAGUACUAAAAUAACACUCCCAUACAUUGCAUAUGGGGAUACAAACUGAUACAGCCUUACUGAUGUCAGUUUGGUAAUAUGUAUCAAACAUCUUAAAAGUUUCAUGGCCUUUGACCUGUCAUUCUACAUUUGGGAAUUUAUCCUAAGGAAAUAAUUAAAGAUUAGUUAUAAGAUGUUCAUCCCAGCAUUGCAGUUGAGAAAAAUGGGAAGCAACUAUCUGGUUGGGAAUUCAUUUCUUUGCUGCUGCAAUGAAAAUUUGCAAGAGGGGAUUGCUUAAAUAAGUUAUUGUAUAUCCAUCCAGAUGGUAGAGUACUGCACAGCCAUUUAAAGUCACAGAAGAACAUUUGACUGGAAAGAAAAAUGCUCUUUGAAUAUUAAAAAGGUUAUAAAAAUGGUGUGUAUUCUGUAAUCUCAGUUUUGUUUUUUUUAAAAUAUGGAUGUAUACUUGUAUACAUAAAGCAGUUUAAAGAAAAAACUGAGGAUGUACUCCAAAUUGUUAAUAACAGUGGUUAUCUUUGGAGGGUGGAAUAAAGUCACUGUAAUUUUCCUCUUUGGUUUCUCUGUAACUGCCAAAUUUUCUACAGUAAUUGUGUAUGGCUGUCAUAUAAUAAAAUAAAAUUUAAAAGAAUCA